RNAcentral lists this ribosomal RNA (474 nucleotides) under uncultured Desulfobulbus sp. RNAcentral describes it as "partial 16S ribosomal RNA". It matches the Rfam family "Bacterial small subunit ribosomal RNA", at positions 913 to 1382 of the family's 1533-position model. Lineage: Bacteria; Pseudomonadati; Thermodesulfobacteriota; Desulfobulbia; Desulfobulbales; Desulfobulbaceae. The record is from RNAcentral.
ACGGGGGCCCGGCGACAAGCGGUGGAGCAUGUGGUUUAAUUCGUAAGCAACGACGAAGAACCUUACCAGGCCUUGACAUGCAGAGAACUUUCCAGAGAUGGAUUGGUGCCUUCGGGAACGUCUGACACAGGUGCUGCAUGGCUGUCGUCAGCUCGUGUCGUGAGAUGUUGGGUUAAGUCCCGCAACGAGCGCAACCCUUGCCUUUAGUUGCCAGCAGUUCGGCUGGGCACUCUAAAGGGACUGCCGGUGUUAAACCGGAGGAAGGUGGGGAUGACGUCAAGUCCUCAUGGCCUUUAUGACCAGGGCUACACACGUACUACAAUGGCCGAUACAAAGGGCAGCGACACUGCGAGGUGAAGCCAAUCCCGUAAAAUCGGUCUCAGUCCGGAUUGGAGUCUGCAACUCGACUCCAUGAAGUUGGAAUCGCUAGUAAUCGUGGAUCAGCAUGCCACGGUGAAUACGUUCCCGGGCCUU